This 478-nucleotide ribosomal RNA is filed under the name uncultured bacterium. RNAcentral's name for it is "partial 16S ribosomal RNA". It matches the Rfam family "Bacterial small subunit ribosomal RNA", at positions 28 to 523 of the family's 1533-position model. The record is from RNAcentral.
GACGAACGCUGGCGGCGUGCUUAACACAUGCAAGUCGAACGGUAAGGCCCUUCGGGGUACACGAGUGGCGAACGGGUGAGUAACACGUGGGUGAUCUGCCCUGAACUUCGGGAUAAGCCUGGGAAACUGGGUCUAAUACCGGAUAGGACCACUGCCUGCAUGGGUGGUGGUGGAAAGCUUUUGCGGUGUGGGAUGGGCCCGCGGCCUAUCAGGUUGUUGGUGGGGGGACGGCCUACCAAGGCGGAGACGGGUAGCCGGCCUGAGAGGGUGACCGGCCACACUGGGACUGAGAUACGGCCCAGACUCCUACGGGAGGCAGCAGUGGGGAAUAUUGCACAAUGGGCGCAAGCCUGAUGCAGCGACGCCGCGUGAGGGAUGACGGCCUUCGGGUUGUAAACCUCUUUCAGCACCGACGAAGCGCAAGUGACGGUAGGUGCAGAAGAAGGACCGGCCAACUACGUGCCAGCCGCCGCCGUAA